RNAcentral lists this long non-coding RNA (2562 nucleotides) under Nicotiana benthamiana. RNAcentral describes it as "long non-coding RNA (NBEN_LNC024675)". Lineage: Eukaryota; Viridiplantae; Streptophyta; Magnoliopsida; Solanales; Solanaceae. The record is from RNAcentral.
CUAAACCUAAGGGCACCUUCCAGCCGUCACCAAAAACCACACCUUGAGAUCCUCUUCUUCUUCAACCUAGAACACAAGAGACCUUCAGCCGCCCACCACACCAGCAGACCCCAUUGCCAGACACCCUUAUUCUUCUUCUUAAUCUCAAAAUACCUAGCUGAACCCUAAUUUGGAAGCCCAACAAGACCUAAUUCAUUACCCCUUUUUCUUAACCUUUACACCCUAACCUUUCUUCUUAACCUACACACUACCAAAAACCCUAAUCUCCUAAGAAAACCUUCCAACCGCCCAAACUCCACCAACACCGAAAACCCUAUAUAGUAGCAACCUAAUGCCACCAACAAAAUCGUAGAGCUUCCAGGCGUCACCCUCACCAAAACAACAUAAAAACGCUUCUUCUUCACCCUUGAAUAAAUAGAAAAACUAAGAGCCUCCCACCCAUCCCAAGCCAAAAGUAGCAGUCGCUCAAACCUUUACCCAGCCGCCCAGUCGUCUCCACCCUCAACUUAGUCGUACCUCUUUUCCAGAUCUACACGUCGUGAACAACCCCCAGCACACCUCCUUGUCGCUGAUCCUUCUUCUUCACCCCAUAGCAGACUACGUGCCAAUCCCUCAUCACUAAGACUCGCCGGAAAUCCGGCGACAACCUUCGAGCAACACCUUGCAAAUGCGACCACAACACAGUCAAAAAACAAAAACAAAAAGAAAAACAAUACAUAAACAAAACAUAUUCUCGGGAGAUCAUUGCUCGUGGUUCCAUUUUUAAUUGGCUCGUUAGUUUCCUUUCGAGGCUUAGUUUGAAGCGGGUCAGUAGAGGUCGAUUUUGAUAUUUCCGUUCGAUUUUUCGGUCCAGCCCCGUCCCAUAGUUUUUCUCGAGUACUUGUAAAUCUCAGGUUCAUUUUUGAGAUUCAAUCCUGAAAUCUACUUCUGUUAUUUCGUUUCCUAUGUGAAUGUUCUGCAUUUGUUUGCUGUCGCCUUUUAGUUCCUAUCAAGUGAUGACGCCUGAUUUUAUUUAGAGAUUUGUUGAGUUGGUUAAUUUUUGAUUAAAUAUGUAUAAUUGCAACAUCAAAUCUGUGUUGACCCGUGAAAGAGAAAGAUAAAUUGAUUUAGCAGAGGAAAGAUUUUAGGAAAAAGGCUUAAACAAAUGGGUUGAUGGACAAGAAUUUCAAGGGUGGUUGGAUUAUCUAUUUGUUUGAUAGUUCUUGUUUGUAUUGAUAACAAUUGAAUAUAACGAAGCUUGAUGACAUAGGUCGUGAGUGGGCAAUCUCUUAAAAUUAGAAUCGGAAUUUGCUUCUAAAUUGAACAUUGGUAUUAAUUAACUUUGUAUUGUGUCCUUUAUUAAUUUGAUUGUUAGGAGCAUGUUUUAGGCCUACAAUACUCGGGGUAGGAAAAUCCUAGGUUUUCUUUAUUUUAUUUUUAUUUUUAGUUCUUUAUUUUAUUUUUAUUUUUAGAGGCAAGAGGUCGCUUCUUUUAGUUUAUUAUUCAGGAAAUGUCCCGCGUAAUUUGUAUAUAAUUUCUAGGGUAUGCCCCAAUGUACUUAUAUUUGGAGGCUGGAAAUGGAACUUGUAGUAUUUUUUUUUUAUUAGGCAGGAAUGACCUAGAGCCUCUUAUGUGUUUUUUUCAUUUUCUGUGUUUGUUUUUAUCUCAAUUUAAAUAUUUUUAGAAUCCAACUAGAUCGAGUAUGCAUUCGUGACUUUCACGGGACUCGGGAUGCCUAACACCUUCUCCUGAGUCAAAUGCACCUCCUUAUCCGAAUAUUUGUUGCAGACAUAGCUUUGGAGUCCAAAGUGUUUUAAAAAGUAAAAAUUAUUUUUAAACUGUGAUCUGGUAUACCGAAACCAAUGGCAUGUGAGUUAUUUUCUUUUGAACACAAUUGUUUGUCACUUUCAUAAUUAAAACCCUUCCGAUCUUUAUAAAAAUUUUUUAAAAUUUUAAGAGGAUUUAGUAAAGUGAAAAAAAUGAUGUGACAACUAGGUGUCAUGUGUACACAAAUUGUAAUUUGUAAUAAUAAGGUAUAGUACAUCAAGGUGAUUCUGGUUAUGACUCUUUGCGUCAAAUAGUUAGAUGAUUAGAACUAUCGCUGUUUUCUCUUAAUUGCAUUCACUAAUAUUUUACAUAUACUUUGAUUAUUUUGCUGUUCAUUCACAUGAUUUCCCUUCAUUGUUAUUUAUUUGUUUUGUUUUUCACUAUUAGUUGUAUAUUGAUAUUCUGCAUAGGUUAUUUGAUUAGUGAGUGUCUUGACUUGAAACUCGUCACUACUCCAUCGAGGUUAGUCCUGAUACUUACUGCAUACCGAUUAUGGUAUACUCAUGCUUUACUUCUGCCCAUUUUGUGCAGAUCUACGUACUUCAGAUAAGAGUAUUCGGCAGUGAGGCUUUGCAUACACACGGAUACUUCAAGAUAUCCUUGCAAGACCCGAUCGUAGGCCUCAGAGUCGCCCUCUUGUUUUAUCUCUACUAUUAUGUAUUUUAAACAGUAUUGUAAUUGAGAUUGAUCUCGUAUAUUCAGUUAGACCAUAUGACUCUGUACUACCUAGCUCUGAGAUAUUAUGUUGAGUAUUUG